UUAGUACGGCGAGUGAGCGGUAAAAGCUCAAAUUUGAAAUCUGGUACUUUCAGUGCCCGAGUUGUAAUUUGUAGAAUUUGUCUUUGAUUAGGUCCUUGUCUAUGUUCCUUGGAACAGGACGUCAUAGAGGGUGAGAAUCCCGUUUGGCGAGGAUACCUUUUCUCUGUAAGACUUUUUCGAAGAGUCGAGUUGUUUGGGAAUGCAGCUCAAAGUGGGUGGUAAAUUCCAUCUAAAGCUAAAUAUUGGCGAGAGACCGAUAGCGAACAAGUACAGUGAUGGAAAGAUGAAAAGAACUUUGAAAAGAGAGUGAAAAAGUACGUGAAAUUGUUGAAAGGGAAGGGCAUUUGAUCAGACAUGGUGUUUUUUGCAUGCACUCGCCUCUCGUGGGCUUGGGCCUCUCAAAAAUUUCACUGGGCCAACAUCAAUUCUGGCAGCAGGAUAAAUCAUUAAGAAUGUAGCUACUUCGGUAGUGUUAUAGCUUUUUGGAAUACUGUUAGCCGGGAUUGAGGACUGCGCUUCGGCAAGGAUGUUGGCAUAAUGGUUAAAUGCCGCCCGUCUUGAACACGGACCAAAA
RNAcentral lists this ribosomal RNA (574 nucleotides) under Hanseniaspora uvarum. Its description in RNAcentral is "partial large subunit ribosomal RNA". It matches the Rfam family "Eukaryotic large subunit ribosomal RNA", at positions 80 to 671 of the family's 3401-position model. Lineage: Eukaryota; Fungi; Ascomycota; Saccharomycetes; Saccharomycodales; Saccharomycodaceae. The record is from RNAcentral.